RNAcentral lists this ribosomal RNA (253 nucleotides) under uncultured bacterium. Its description in RNAcentral is "partial 16S ribosomal RNA". It matches the Rfam family "Bacterial small subunit ribosomal RNA", at positions 524 to 776 of the family's 1533-position model. The record is from RNAcentral.
GACAGAGGGUGCAAACGUUGUUCGGAUUUACUGGGCGUAAAGCGUGUGUAGGCGGCUUUGCAAGUCGGAUGUGAAAUCCCUCGGCUUAACCAAGGAAGUGCAUCCGAAACUGCAGUGCUUGAGUACUUAAGAGGAUCGCGGAAUUCCCGGUGUAGAGGUGAAAUUCGUAGAUAUCGGGAGGAACACCAGUGGCGAAGGCGGCGAUCUGGGAAGAUACUGACGCUGAGGUGCGAAAGCGUGGGGAGCAAACAGG